AUACGGGGGGGGCAAGCGUUAAUCGGAAUUACUGGGCGUAAAGCGCGCGUAGGCGGCUAAGUAAGUCGGAUGUGAAAGUCCUGGGCUCAACCUGGGAAUUGCAUUCGAUACUGCUUGGCUAGAGUAUGGUAGAGGGUAGUGGAAUUCCUGGUGUAGCGGUGAAAUGCGUAGAUAUCAGGAGGAACAUCAGUGGCGAAGGCGGCUACCUGGACCAAUACUGACGCUAAGGUGCGAAAGCGUGGGGAGCAAACAGGAUUAGAAACCCCGGUAGUCC
This 274-nucleotide ribosomal RNA is filed under the name uncultured bacterium. RNAcentral's name for it is "partial 16S ribosomal RNA". It matches the Rfam family "Bacterial small subunit ribosomal RNA", at positions 523 to 796 of the family's 1533-position model. The record is from RNAcentral.